AUUGAACGCUGGCGGCAGGCCUAACACAUGCAAGUCGAACGGUAACAGGAAGCAGCUUGCUGCUUCGCUGACGAGUGGCGGACGGGUGAGUAAUGUCUGGGAAGCUGCCUGAUGGAGGGGGAUAACUACUGGAAACGGUAGCUAAUACCGCAUAAUGUCGCAAGACCAAAGAGGGGGACCUUCGGGCCUCUUGCCAUCGGAUGUGCCCAGAUGGGAUUAGCUUGUUGGUGGGGUAACGGCUCACCAAGGCGACGAUCCCUAGCGGGUCUGAGAGGAUGACAAGCCACACUGGAACGGAGACACGGUCCAGACUCCUAAGGGAGGCAGCAGUGGGGAAUAUUGCACAAUGGGCGCAAGCCUGAUGCAGCCAUGCCGCGUGUAUGAAGAAGGCCUUCGGGUUGUAAAGUACUUUCAGCGGGGAGGAAGGGAGUAAAGUUAAUACCUUUGCUCAUUGACGUUAACCGCAGAAGAAGCACCGGCUAACUACGUG
Molecule: ribosomal RNA, 490 nt
Filed under: uncultured bacterium
Lineage: Bacteria
Description: partial 16S ribosomal RNA
Rfam family: Bacterial small subunit ribosomal RNA
Source: RNAcentral